AUUGAACGCUGGCGGCAUGCCUUACACAUGCAAGUCGAACGGCAGCACGGGUGCUUGCACCUGGUGGCGAGUGGCGAAGGGGUGAGUAAUACAUCGGAACAUGCCCUGUAGUGGGGGAUAGCCCGGCGAAAGCCGGAUUAAUACCGCAUACGAUCUACGGAUGAAAGCGGGGUACCUUCGGGCCUCGCGCUAUAGGGUUGGCCGAUGGCUGAUUAGCUAGUUGGUGGGGUAAAGGUCUACCAAGGCGACGAUCAGUAGCUGGUCUGAGAGGACGACCAGCCACACUGGGACUGAGACACGGCCCAGACUCCUACGGGAGGCAGCAGUGGGGAAUUUUGGACAAUGGGCGAAAGCCUGAUCCAGCAAUGCCGCGUGUGUGAAGAAGGCCUUCGGGUUGUAAAGCACUUUUGUCCGGAAAGAAAUCCUUGGCCCUAAUACGGUCGGGGGAUGACGGUACCGGAAGAAUAAGCACCGGCUAACUACGUG
Molecule: ribosomal RNA, 486 nt
Filed under: uncultured bacterium
Lineage: Bacteria
Description: partial 16S ribosomal RNA
Rfam family: Bacterial small subunit ribosomal RNA
Source: RNAcentral